This 68-nucleotide transfer RNA is filed under the name bovine gut metagenome. It matches the Rfam family "tRNA". From Rfam's summary of the family: Transfer RNA (tRNA) molecules are approximately 80 nucleotides in length. Their secondary structure includes four short double-helical elements and three loops (D, anti-codon, and T loops). The record is from RNAcentral.
GGGAGUAGCUCAGUUGGCAGAGCGUCGGCUUCCCAAGCCGAAGGUCGCGGGUUCGAAACCCGUUUCCC